AACGAACGCUGGCGGCAUGCCUAACACAUGCAAGUCGAACGAGACCUUCGGGUCUAGUGGCGCACGGGUGCGUAACGCGUGGGAACCUGCCCUUAGGUUCGGAAUAACUCCCCGAAAGGGGUGCUAAUACCGGAUAAUGUCUUCGGACCAAAGAUUUAUCGCCGUUGGAUGGGCCCGCGUUGGAUUAGCUAGUUGGUAGGGUAAAAGCCUACCAAGGCGACGAUCCAUAGCUGGUCUGUGAGGAGGAUCAGCCACACUGGGACUGAGACACGGCCCAGACUCCUACGGGAGGCAGCAGUGGGGAAUAUUGGACAAUGGACGAAAGCCUGAUCCAGCAAUGCCGCGUGAGUGAUGAAGGCCUUAGGGUUGUAAAGCUCUUUUACCCGGGAUGAUAAUGACAGUACCGGGAGAAUAAGCACCGGCUAACUCCGUG
This 433-nucleotide ribosomal RNA is filed under the name uncultured bacterium. RNAcentral describes it as "partial 16S ribosomal RNA". It matches the Rfam family "Bacterial small subunit ribosomal RNA", at positions 29 to 507 of the family's 1533-position model. The record is from RNAcentral.